Molecule: ribosomal RNA, 1349 nt
Filed under: uncultured bacterium
Lineage: Bacteria
Description: partial 16S ribosomal RNA
Rfam family: Bacterial small subunit ribosomal RNA
Source: RNAcentral
GAAGAAAACUGGGGGCGUGCUUCUCACAUGUGCGAUUAAAAGAAAAGCCCCCUUGCUGGGGACUCGAGGGGCCAACGCGCGAGUAAUAACGUGAGCAUUGCUACACUUGACUUUGGGAUAACUUCUGGAAACUGGGGAUAACAACGGAUAUCAGAUCCUGCUGCAUGGAGGGAUGAGGAAAGUUACGAUUGUUGGGGAUGGACUCUAGGCUUAUCACCUUGUUAGUGGCUUAGUGUGGUCCCAAAGCUUUGACGGCUAGCCGGGCAUGAAAGGGCGACCGCGCCCUCCUGGGACUGACAUACGGGCCAAACUCCUACAGGAGGGAGAAAUGCGGAACAUUGCAUAAUGGGCGGAAGACUGAUGCACCACCGCCGCUUGCGGGAUGACGGCUUUCGGGUGGUAAACCCGUUUCCGCCUUUGCCGAAGCCUGAGUCCCGGUAAUGGUAAAAGAAGCACCGGGCUAAUUACGUGCCAGCCGCCGCGGUGAUACGUAGGGUGCGAGCGUGUUCCGGAUUUAUGGGGCGUAAAGGGCUCGUAGGUGGUUGAUCGCGUCGGAAGUGAAAUCUUGGGGCUUAACCCUGAGCGUGCUUUCGAUACGGGUUGACUUGAGGAAGGUAGGGGAGAAUGGAAUUCCUGGUGGAGCGGUGGAAUGCGCAGAUAUCAGGAGGAACACCAGUGGCGAAGGCGGUUCUCUGGACCUUUCCUGACGCUGAGGAGCGAAAGCGUGGGGAGCGAACAGGCUUAGAUACCCUGGUAGUCCACGCUGUAAACGGUGGGUACUAGGUGUGGGGUCCAUUCCACGGAUUCCGUGCCGUAGCUAACGCUUUAAGUACCCCGCCUGGGGAGUACGGCCGCAAGGCUAAAACUCAAAGGAAUUGACGGGGCCCCGCACAAGCGGCGGAGCAUGCGGAUUAAUUCGAUGCAACGCGAAGAACCUUACCUGGGUUUGACAUGGAUCAGGAGUGCUCAGAGAUGGGUAUGCCUCUUUUGGGGUUGGUUCACAGGUGGUGCAUGGCUGUCGUCAGCUCGUGUCGUGAGAUGUUGGGUUAAGUCCCGCAACGAGCGCAACCCUCGUUCACUGUUGCCAGCACGUUAUGGUGGGGACUCAGUGGAGACCGCCGGGGUCAACUCGGAGGAAGGUGGGGAUGACGUCAAGUCAUCAUGCCCCUUAUGUCCAGGGCUUCACGCAUGCUACAAUGGCCGGUACAAAGAGUUGCGAGCCUGUGAGGGUGAGCGAAUCUCGGAAAGCCGGUCUCAGUUCGGAUUGGGGUCUGCAACUCGACCUCAUGAAGUCGGAGUCGCUAGUAAUCGCAGAUCAGCAACGCUGCGGUGAAUACGUUCCCGGGGCU